This is a long non-coding RNA of Colias croceus (clouded yellow), 544 nucleotides long. RefSeq lists it as uncharacterized. The transcript has 2 exons. Lineage: Eukaryota; Metazoa; Arthropoda; Insecta; Lepidoptera; Pieridae. The record is from RefSeq and is a predicted model, not a curated record.
GACAGAGUAACUAAUAGACCCAAUGACGAUACCUUUCUCACUUACACAAGAAAGAGAGCGAAAAUACCAUAACAAAUGCAUAAGACAAAGACACAAAUACCCAAUUUUUUGUCCCUUAGUGUGUAACCUGUUUUUCAAGAUCCGCAACUUGAGUUGCGAAACAAACUUUGACAGUUCGUGCCUUCAUCGUGCUUGGUGUUCGAAUUUUGGAUAUUAUUUAGUAAAAAAUCGAUACGAGUACAUUGAAAAGACGGUGAAAUUAUCUUAAUAUAGACAUCGAAGUAAAUAGAAUGGUGCGUUGUCGUGUUAUUGCAUGUAUAAGCGAUAGUGAGAAGAAAAUUGCCGGUGUGUCUUUUCACGCAUGAUCCAGACCUACGUAAUUAAUGGAUCGAAGUGGUAGAAAAGAUUGGAUUCUCACAAAAUAUUGUAAAAUAUGAACAAGCCAAUGAAAAAGUAAGAAAUGUGUUUCGUCAUCAAUAAUCAAUCUGCUUAUAUUUUUUGUAUCUACUAAAUUGACUAUAAAGACAAAAGAAAAAUCUCAUAA